UGUUAGCAAAUCCCACCCCUCUUGGCUG
This 28-nucleotide small RNA is filed under the name Bombyx mori (domestic silkworm). Its description in RNAcentral is "piRNA piR-bmo-1488100". The record is from RNAcentral. Lineage: Eukaryota; Metazoa; Arthropoda; Insecta; Lepidoptera; Bombycidae.